AUCCUCCAAGGCUAAAUACUCCUGACUGACCGAUAGUGAACCAGUACCGUGAGGGAAAGGCGAAAAGAACCCCGGCGAGGGGAGUGAAAAAGAACCUGAAACCGUGUACGUACAAGCAGUGGGAGCCCCACCACUAAGCCAGUGGUGAACUCCACAUACGCAUCCUUUGCUGAGGAUACGGUUAACGGAGCGAAAGCGACGUUCAACCUCAAAAGAAGCAGAGGGGGCUUAGUGGUGGGGUGACUGCGUACCUUUUGUAUAAUGGGUCAGCGACUUAUAUUCUGUAGCAAGGUUAACCGAAUAGGGGAGCCGGAGGGAAACCGAGUCUUAAUUGGGCGUUAAGUUGCAGGGUAUAGACCCGAAACCCGGUGAUCUAGCCAUGGGCAGGUUGAAGGUUGGGUAACACUAACUGGAGGACCGAACCGAC
RNAcentral lists this ribosomal RNA (427 nucleotides) under Salmonella enterica subsp. enterica serovar Braenderup. RNAcentral describes it as "bacterial LSU rRNA". It matches the Rfam family "Bacterial large subunit ribosomal RNA", at positions 455 to 783 of the family's 2925-position model. The record is from RNAcentral. Lineage: Bacteria; Pseudomonadati; Pseudomonadota; Gammaproteobacteria; Enterobacterales; Enterobacteriaceae.